RNAcentral lists this unclassified non-coding RNA (349 nucleotides) under fungal sp. RNAcentral describes it as "partial internal transcribed spacer region". The stretch from base 1 to 46 matches the Rfam family "Eukaryotic small subunit ribosomal RNA", at positions 1786 to 1831 of the family's 1831-position model. The record is from RNAcentral. Lineage: Eukaryota; Fungi.
AAGUCGUAACAAGGUUUCCGUAGGUGAACCUGCGGAAGGAUCAUUAACACGUAUCCAACGUUAAACCCCCCGUGAACCUUCAGUGCGCUCGCACUUUGGUAAAUCAUUGCCGAACAGUUUUGAUUCAGGGACUUCUGCGUAGACUGUGGCAUUCCUCUGCUUGUUGGUGUCUGAAAGUGUCACCAGCUCUGUACGAAUGGCGCAGUCACGAUCGCUAGAGGCCGACACGGCCGGCGACCGGGUCACUGGGCGCGAGCCCCCCUCGUCACCUUUGCAUGAAAACGGGCCUGCGCUUAAUUGUGCGGCCACCAAACUCGAACAACUGUUAACAAUGGAUAUCUUGGUUCUC